Molecule: transfer RNA, 92 nt
Filed under: Tupaia belangeri chinensis (Chinese tree shrew)
Lineage: Eukaryota; Metazoa; Chordata; Mammalia; Scandentia; Tupaiidae
Description: Tupaia chinensis (Chinese tree shrew) tRNA
Rfam family: tRNA
About the family: Transfer RNA (tRNA) molecules are approximately 80 nucleotides in length. Their secondary structure includes four short double-helical elements and three loops (D, anti-codon, and T loops).
Source: Rfam by way of RNAcentral
CCUUCGAUAGCUCAGUUGGUAGAGCGGAGGACUGUAGGUUCUUUGGGCGUGUAGUCAUCCUUAGGUCGCUGGUUCGAUUCCGGCUCGAAGGA